CUACUGCAGUUUCAUAUGCAAAGCAUGCGUCCUCCACAUCCAUGCUAUCUCCUGAAGCAGUUGUUCUGAAACCCAAUCUGGGGACAGUGCAGACUAAAUAAAAUUUCAUUUUGAUUUGGCCUCCCGCUGCGAAUGGGCCUGCUUUGUCUCAGCGGACAGAAGCAGCAAGCCAGAAAGGUGUUGAAUACUAAAAUACUGACUGAAAGGAAAAUUGAAUAAGUGCUGCUCUGAUGCUCCGGAGAUUUUACUGGAAGAUUUGUCGCGCUGAAUUUUAUUGUAAAUUUGAAGAUGCAGUUAACAGCUUUGAAGGACUUUAGCUUUCAUGGCCCUUGUGAGCUGCUUUGGCAGAAAAGCAAUCGCCCAUUUUAGAGAAGGAGGGAAAAUAGAACAUAAAGACUCUUCCAUGGGACUAAAUUGUUGUGCCAUCUUGGUACAGUUUGUAUAAAAUGCAUUGUGAUGCUUACUGAACUACUGCAAAAGAUGGCUCCUUUUAAACAAUGACCUUCACUGGGAGCCAGGAGAGUCUGGCUGUGUCAAAUGCUCAUCUUACCCUCGUCCCACCUUUCGGAGAAGUAUUGGCGAUGAAGGGACAGCCUGCUGUGCUACUCUCAGAAGACGCUGUAGAUAAGAACUACAGGAAAUGGACCAAGACACUCCUGAACAUGACUCGCUGAGCUGAGGGGACAGUGGGAAGCAGAGACAUUAAAAGAUGGACAUCAGGCAUCCAGCAGGCACAUCUGCUAGGGCCUGAAGCAAUGCAGAAGAGGCUGAGUGUCCAGGAGGUGAGCACGGCCAAUACUCAUGUCCUGGACAACUGUGUUGGUGGAAACUGGCUUCCUUGGCCAGGAGGAACCCCGGGACUCCACUCUGCCCUCACCUUUGUGCUUUACCUUCCUAGCAGCCAAGGUGAGAUCUACAACCCUUGGGGAGACAGUAACUCUGGGCAAGAGGAGAUAAACAGAAUGCAGGGUUCUGGUUUGUCUUCUGAGCAUGCAUCCAACAGGAGGAGAGUUUAGAGAAAUGACUAAACUUACAUCUUAUGUACUACAUGUGCUUUCUCCUUGCCCAUCUUUUCCUUGUAAUGAAUUCUUUUUGUUUUUAUCAGUUUAAUAUAUUUUCUUCAUGACAACCACUUUGCAGUCUAAGUUAGUCGACAAAAAAAUAUCUCACUCCUCAAGGUCUCAAGUUCGAUCCCCAGUACCAAAAACAACAAUAACAACAACAACAAAUAUCACACUCCUACCAACUGACUUCAUACAUGAAAUGAAUAUUUUCUAGAAAAAAUCUCUAUUGAGAAGAAAGCCUCCAGAAAGUUAUGGUUGUAUUCAAGGAAAUGUAUGCUACGGAGAUCAAGCACUCAGGUGAAAUCUAUUGCCUAAAUUGCUGCUGAAGUUAGAGUCACAGGAUGCUUCAUUCUCAGGAAGGAUAUUUUAAAGUAGCCUGGUAAUGCUGCCUUGAGCUCUCUGUGUUCAGCAAUUGGCAGUGUCCUGAGCAUGAGGCCUCCCCAACACCCAGAGGGCUGACCUGACCACCCCAGAAUGUGCUAAGGCCUGAAGCACAGUUUGCAGAUCAUAAACCAAAGAAGGAGGCCAAACCGGGGUCCCAGGCAGAAAGAAAACCUUCACCUUCGCCCUCCAUUAUUGGCCAAGCUGGUGGGAGAGGCUGCUUGUUGACAAGUUAAAUGUCCUAAAGAACCAAGUGAUGAGCUUUCUUGAAAGUGACUGCAUUUAGUCAUGAUUUGGGUCUCUUUACAGGGAGUCCUUGCUCAUAUUCUGAUAAAUCCCCAAAUCACUACCUGAGGACCUUAGUCAAAAUACAGAAUGUGAGCAACAUUAUUCAUCUGAAAUCAAAACCAGAAAGUUCUGCAGGAAAAGAAAAGCAACCUUCUGAAAAAUUUUCAAAGUAAUUCAAAUUUACCGUGAAAAUUGGGCAGAGCCACUAUUAAAAUUUCCGAAUUUUUACUUCUUAUGUACAAUUUCAGGUUUUUUCCCCAAAACCUGAACAUUGCCAUUUACUUCUAAGAUGAUAAUAUGUUAUAUGUAAACAUAAUUUCGAAGCACUUUCAUGUGUGGUUUUUUUAUUUGAUCAUUUCAGAAAUAUUAGACUUUUAUUACCAAAAGACAAGUUCAUUUUAUUAUAACUCAGUUUUAUUAACCAACUGGUAGAAGAAAAGUAGAAUUCAAGCUAUGCAUCAAUAAGGUUCAGAUUUAAUAAUAAACUUGGUCAUGAUAAUAGACUUUUAAAAGUCACCACCACUUAAUACACUUUCAUUGAACUUGCAGAAGUAGGCUUUCAAAUGGGAGUGGAAUAUUCAUACCCUACAAAAAUCAAGACUUCCUCCUUGGGAACAGAGAUUGGAUAUGCCUGACAUAGUUUGUUUGGCUGCCCGGAAAAAUAGAUUCUGUAUUUCUGGGCAGUGUUUAUGUUGAAGCCAGAGCUUUGGAGUGCAGCUGUCCCACUAAACCAUGCGUGGUGUCCAGGACACUUCACAAUCACUCCUGGCUGCAUGAUAGCUUCUCAGUCCCUGAAAAGUCCCAGUAGCUUUGCUUUUCCUUAUAGACACAGCACUUCUCCCAUAGGACUGGAAAACAAUGCAUGAUACCUUUAGAGCAGGUGGGGACAUGGAAGGAGAACACAUAGGCCUCCAUCCACUGUAAGCGUCUCUGUCUUAUGGGUUCCAUGACUUAUCUCUGUGGCCUCAGAAACCAGGUGGGCUGCCCAAGGCAGCUCCAGGCUGCCCCCCAGAUUCUCUCAUGGAAAGUCAGCAAACCCCUGUGAGACCCUGCCUUCCAGCACACUUCUUGCAACUCUGUAGGGUACAAUCAUAAGUGUCCCCAGUUCAGAGAAGAAGACAGAAGGACAUUCAGGGAAAGUGCCAUUUCCAAGGGCCCUGAGUCAGUAAGAAGCAUGAACCUGCACACAAACCAAGUGUUCCAACUCCUUACAGCUGUUGGCUUCAACUCUGGUGAAUUUAAACUAUGUCCUUCUCCUUUUGGUUAAUAAGGCAAGACUUGAGCUCAUGUUUCAAAAGUGAAGGUCAGAUCCACACCUUGGUCACCCAGAGGGGAGCAAAGAGCAGGUGGAGAGAAUGGAGGAAGCACAUGCAACCCACCACUUAAAACUGCACUGUAAAUCAGUACAAAAAUAUAAUUUUGAAGAUAAAAUAUACAUGUGACAAAAUGCCAUCAGAAGCCCCUAGUAUAUAAGAUCUCAUCAGCUCCCACUUUGGAGUCAGAAUCGGCUGAGAAAUGAAAGUGUGGGCCUUGUUGCCAAGAUGAAGGGCUUCAGGACAGUGAUAGCAGAGCAUUAAUCUAUGCACAGGACUUGUGUGAGACCUUGUGGUCUCCACCACACAAAGCCACCUGGUGAUGAUUGCUUUUCUGCAUCCUGCUCAGCUCUGCUUGGUGGACCUGACCUCAGCUCUGCGAAUAGGAAAUGCCCAACGAGGGCUGCAUGUAAGGAGCACACUGCUACUUUGCACUGUGGUUGGUCAUCCGAGGCAUGGCUCAAACAGAGCCUGGAAGACCAUCUAGCAGGGAUGGUGAAGGUGGACUGACCCCCCACAGUAGGACAAGGCCACAGUUAACCUUAGGGUUCUCUUCUCACACUAAAAUUCUGUGGGUCCAAUCAUUUUUUCAUCUUCAGAUUUUUGAAAGGAGUCACUUCUGAUUCAUGAAUACCAUUGAUUUCUUGACACUGGCACUUGACGAGACACAACAAAGUCUCAGUGCCAUUGAACUUUGUGCCUCGGUCACCAGACAUAAGUAAAGGUGGCCCCUCAGCAUGAGAUGCAUGCGUGUGACUUUGCUCAGCAUGGAGGGUGCUUGUUACAAAGACAGCAAAGGAGACAUGGGUAGCUGAUCACUUUGCAAUCUCUGUGCCUGUUGGGGCUAGGCCAAAGUCCAGGUCUCCUUUCCAGAAAAGUAUAGUAACUUUGGAGGUCAGUAUAAUCCUCCCCUAAACUGUGCUGUCAUUCUAGAAAGAGGCUAUGGUCAGACAAUGUUCUAAGGAUGUAUUUGGAAGUGUCCACUGCAGCCAUAAUAAUUGAGAUUCAAAUUCUGAUGAUGCACUAUAGCUAAAUAUAUAUAUAUAUAUAUACACACACAUAUAUAUAUACAUAUAUAUACAUAUAUAUAUAUAUGUGUAUAUAUAUAUAUGUAUAUGGUAUCUUAGACCUUCUGAGAUUGAUCUACAAAGAAACUAGAGCACUCGUAUAGUCCAGAAGAAAAUCAUUCAGAUCUUCAACUGUCCUUGGAUGCUUUGACCAAAGUAACAGGGAAAAAUAUGAAACUGCCAUGGUCUUAUGGUUUUGCUCAAGUAAUGGAAAUCAGUUGUGAUAUUACCAUCUUAUAUCUCCAUUGUGGCCCUGGACCUAUUAAAAUAGACCUCACUCAAGUCAAAUGCACCCUGGGUAGGAUAGGCCAUGGGUUGACCAGUCCCCGCUUGAAUCCAGAGCCAUCCUCCGAUAGCAUUUGCCAUUGCCAUUUUGUUAAUAAAAUAGGGGCAAUGAUAGCUUCUAGCAUCCCAGAUUUUUGUUGAACAAAGCAACACGGAGCCUGAAAGGCAUGUCAAGAGAUCUGACGUAAAUGGAAAUCGCAGAGUAUCAUAAUGCGCACAACAGGUGCACGGAGUAGAUGUUCAGAAUGGUUUCUAUUAUUUGGCUUUUUUGGAAUCAAAUCAGAAUCAAGAACAAUAGUAGCCAUUUCAGAUAAAUUACUUCUGCACAUUCUUGCAGAUUGAGCAGCUGUAAAGGAGGGGGGAGGCAGGGGAUGCUUGCUAUGUGGAAGGUGGAUGCGAAUACAUUUGUAAUGUGUACACAGUGUGCUGAGUAUAUUAAAUUUUUGCCUUUCCUGUGCAAUGAUAAAAGUAGUUUUCUUUCCAGGAUUGCAUGUUUCAUUAAUACCACAUUUUAAUAAUUAAAGAGCACAACACUGGAGGCAAUAAAUAGAGAAGAUAAAAGUUUGCAGACAAUUCAUUAUUUUUCUCAGACAGUUCCUCUGAAGAGCCCACAUGGAGAUGCAGUUUAAUGAUUUAAGUUCUAAAAUGGGUUGUUUAAUAAAAUAUUGGGUGUUUAUGUCAUCUCGCUGUACCAGGCAGCAUCCUUCCCUGCAUCAGGUAUGGUGGCAUUGAUGCCAGCAGUGAGGGAUGGGCUGGUCCCCCACACACAUGCACAUACAUAUGCACAUAUACACAUCACAUGCAUCAUUAUCCACUCUGAACCACUUGCCGGCUGUUUUUGUGGCUUUAGAGUUGCUGUUUGGAAUGCUGAAUGCUGGGAAGUGAGAGAUUUGUUGUCUUUUUAAUCCUCUCUGUUAGCAUUUUCUAUUUUAUUAGACAUAAUUCAGAGAGACAGAAAGACAGGGAGGCAGACACUGGUGAAGGGGGUUGUAUAAUUGGGUGUAGUGGGAUUAAACUAUUAUUAGCGCACUCUCCUAAUGGAUGCUCCAUGAAGAACCCAUGGCAAAGGCAUUAAUGAGUUAUGAAGGAAGCAGAGGCACACGGGCAGCCCGACUUCCACACACAUUGCUCAGCAACCCCUGGAAAGGAAACCCAGACUCCUGAUGUUUAUGCAGAGUCAUUUUCUCUCAGAAGCCCCUGUUGUUUCUAUCCUCUAACUCCCAAUUCAUGGAAUCUGUCUCACAUGCCAGUCCUGACACUGAGCUUUUGCUUUGACAUGGGGGCUUCAAUAUGUAAAAGCUAGCAAUUGUCCCUCCCCCCAAAUUCAAAUCUAACAGAGAAUUAGAUACAUGCAUAUCAAAAAUGGCCUCUUCUUUGAUUUAGAAAAAAAUUAGCAAGAUAUGUGAACACCAAUG
This is a long non-coding RNA of Heterocephalus glaber (naked mole-rat), 5813 nucleotides long. RefSeq lists it as uncharacterized. The record is from RefSeq and is a predicted model, not a curated record. NCBI's taxonomy places the organism in Eukaryota, Metazoa, Chordata, Mammalia, Rodentia, Bathyergidae.